RNAcentral lists this transfer RNA (75 nucleotides) under Sulfolobus tengchongensis. Its description in RNAcentral is "tRNA-Thr". It matches the Rfam family "tRNA". Rfam says of the family: Transfer RNA (tRNA) molecules are approximately 80 nucleotides in length. Their secondary structure includes four short double-helical elements and three loops (D, anti-codon, and T loops). Lineage: Archaea; Thermoproteati; Thermoproteota; Thermoprotei; Sulfolobales; Sulfolobaceae. RNAcentral also lists the same sequence under 11 other names. The record is from RNAcentral.
GCCGCCGUAGCUCAGCCUGGUUAGAGCGCCGGCCUUGUAAGCCGGCGGUCGCGGGUUCAAAUCCCGCCGGCGGCU